GCUUCACGAUAGUGGGGAGGACCAGGCCGCGGUGAAGGCAGGUCAUGCGCUCCUCACGCUCCACGAACGGAACCUGCGCACGGAGGCGGUAGCGCGGGGUGGCAGCCGGCAAUGAGGCGGCCGCGCUACGUGACGAGCUACGGGUCCCCCUUUGUGAUGUUUUGGCAUCGCUCCUUCAUCGCACAUCCUCAGGUACGUCAAUUCACUUCCUUCCCUUCCCUUCGUCCCUCGGUCCCACGCUCGUGGCGCUGAAGUGGUGGCAACAGGCGAUGGCGGUGGUGUCGCUGAUGGCGGCGAGGACAGCAUGUGGCAGCUCCCGAAGCAUGAACACGACCGCACCUCGGGCCUGCCGUCUGCCAAGAUAUGGCUCUGGCCGAUUGACAAUGGAGGUUUGGGAUCCUUCCUCUCAGCACCCACUCCUGGAAGAAUCAGCGGUGCGCCACGCCGAUUGAACCCCGUCGAGAUCACUCGCCAAGAUUGCUAUUCUGAAGUUUAUUGUAAAGAAAGUGAAGAGUGAGACAGGAUCCGUUUAUUUUCAACCGGUUUAUUUUCAACCGGUUUAUUUCCAUCAAAUUACCCCCACCCCCACGCCCACCCACCGAAACGCGCCCAGCGAA
Long non-coding RNA from Triticum dicoccoides, 617 nucleotides. RefSeq lists it as uncharacterized. The transcript has 3 exons. NCBI's taxonomy places the organism in Eukaryota, Viridiplantae, Streptophyta, Magnoliopsida, Poales, Poaceae. The record is from RefSeq and is a predicted model, not a curated record.